GGGGAUUUAGCUCAGUGGUAGAGCGCUUGCCUAGCAAGCACAAGGCCCUGGAUUCAGUCCUCA
This is a non-coding RNA of Rattus norvegicus (Norway rat), 63 nucleotides long. NCBI's taxonomy places the organism in Eukaryota, Metazoa, Chordata, Mammalia, Rodentia, Muridae. The record is from Rfam.